This 492-nucleotide ribosomal RNA is filed under the name uncultured bacterium. RNAcentral's name for it is "partial 16S ribosomal RNA". It matches the Rfam family "Bacterial small subunit ribosomal RNA", at positions 29 to 507 of the family's 1533-position model. The record is from RNAcentral.
AGUGAACGCUGGCGGUAGGCCUAACUCAUGCAAGUCGAACGGCAGCACAGUAAGAGCUUGCUCUUACGGGUGGCGAGUGGCGGACGGGUGAGGAAUACAUCGGAAUCUACUUUUUCGUGGGGGAUAACGUAGGGAAACUUACGCUAAUACCGCAUACGACCUACGGGUGAAAGCAGGGGAUCUUCGGACCUUGCGCGAUUGAAUUAGACGAUGUCGGAUUAGCUAGUUGGCGGGGUAAAGGCCCACCAAGGCGACGAUCCGUAGCUGGUCUGAGAGGAUGAUCAGCCACACUGGAACUGAGACACGGUCCAGACUCCUACGGGAGGCAGCAGUGGGGAAUAUUGGACAAUGGGCGCAAGCCUGAUCCAGCCAUACCGCGUGGGUGAAGAAGGCCUUCGGGUUGUAAAGCCCUUUUGUUGGGAAAGAAAAGCAGCAGGUUAAUACCCCGCUGUUCUGACGGUACCCAAAGAAUAAGCACCGGCUAACUUCGUG